GCGGAUGUAGCCAAGUGGAUCAAGGCAUUGGAUUGUGAAUUCACCAUGCGCGAGUUCAAUUCCCGUCCUUCGCC
RNAcentral lists this transfer RNA (74 nucleotides) under Zingiber officinale. It matches the Rfam family "tRNA". From Rfam's summary of the family: Transfer RNA (tRNA) molecules are approximately 80 nucleotides in length. Their secondary structure includes four short double-helical elements and three loops (D, anti-codon, and T loops). Further hydrogen bonds mediate the characteristic L-shaped molecular structure. tRNAs have two regions of fundamental functional importance: the anti-codon, which is responsible for specific mRNA codon recognition, and the 3' end, to which the tRNAs corresponding amino acid is attached (by aminoacyl-tRNA synthetases). tRNAs cope with the degeneracy of the genetic code in two manners: having more than one tRNA (with a specific anti-codon) for a particular amino acid; and 'wobble' base-pairing, i.e. permitting non-standard base-pairing at the 3rd anti-codon position. Lineage: Eukaryota; Viridiplantae; Streptophyta; Magnoliopsida; Zingiberales; Zingiberaceae. The record is from Rfam by way of RNAcentral.